This is a long non-coding RNA of Scatophagus argus, 3384 nucleotides long. RefSeq lists it as uncharacterized. Lineage: Eukaryota; Metazoa; Chordata; Actinopteri; Scatophagidae. The record is from RefSeq and is a predicted model, not a curated record. The transcript is spliced from 4 exons.
UCACGUGCCUCGCACAUGUUUGCAAAUGCAAUAGGAUGAAUUCAUAACUUCACUUUCAUUUUCUUGAUCACGCUGCCACUCUUGGGUUCUUCGCUCUCCACUGUCAGACCAGUCUUGCCAAGUCACACACAGCCUGGAUCUUGGCAUGGCAGUGCGGGUCAUUCAAGGACAGCCCAGAAUAGGAAAAACAGCCUGGACAGAGCCUGCAGCAAAGUACUAAAAGUGGCAGGGAUCCAGCAUACAGAGAGUCAUGGAAUACACACACCUCAGAUCUCGUGGAGCUUAGUGAGCAAAUGAUUUACCAGUGACAGCGUCAUGUUAAGAACUGACAAGCAUCUUCGCUGUUACUCUCAUCCCUCCCACCCCUGUGUGUUCUCCGGAUUGAUGCCAUCUGAGGUUGCAGGCCCAGGCCGCCGAAGCUGCAAAUGUACCCAGCAGCACACGUCACUAAUAGGGGAGUGCAGAGCUCCCAAAAUAGCCCAAACAGCAAUUGGUGAAAGAGGGCCCAAGUGGUAGUUACCAAGGACCAAAGGACCAAUUCUGACAACAAAAUGAAGCUUUCUGAACACCACGUGAACAGCCAUCAUUUAAUGAGACACCAAACGCUAAUGUUUGAUUUGUCAUGCAUUUCAGCACUUCUUCAGACAGCCAUAGAGAGUUCCUAAUAUUUUAUUUUGGAACAAUUAAUUUUAAUGGAUUUUAUUCUUUUACACAUCUCGUAAUAACUAGGGACUUGAGAUGUGGGAAAUGGAUAUACAACAUAUAACACCACACAAUUGCUAUACAGCUGAAAGACAUGAAAGGAUGUGAGUCAUUUGCUAGAGGUUGUCCUACCAAUCUGCUUAUCAUAAAGCCUCCCAACGCAAUAUUCACAUCUAUUGCAUGAUCUGCUUUGGCUAACCGAACUAAUACUAUCUUCUUGACAGUCUACUUAAAUUGUAUGAAGAUCAUCCAAAAUCCUAAUCCAGGUCACAAAUCAUUCACAAUCAUUGCUGAAUAACAAAAACAAGUCAUGUCACUUGUGAAUCUGUUGUUUUGUCCCCUGGGACAUGUUAUAUGAGAAGAUACAACAUUCGAGCACUGCAGAUAAUGUUGAGAAUUAAUUAAAAGUAACUGUAAACAAAGGUAACAACUCGAGCCAUUUCACAACCAGCCAGCCUGUAACUUCAUCUUCAGAUGCUUGCAUAAUUAUGGGGUGUUGUUGCAUAAGGGGUAAAGAAACAUGCAGGGUUUAAUUAAAAGCAGCUAACAAAGGCAACAUUCAGGAGUUUUCUUGUUUCACAGCACAGACUGCAAUUCCUAGAAUUUCAGCAAGUAUCCCAUUGUGGAAAAGCCUGGUUUAUGAAGCGCUGCACUGGUUUGGAAGUGAAAUAAAGGCACACAGAUUGAGCAAACCUUGUACCCUUUUAUGUAUGGCCAAGCCUUUAACUCUUGGGGACCAGAGGCCGUGAACUACAGAACUUUCACAAUUGUUCUGUUAGAUCACAAUAAAUUAAUUAGAAAAUUAUAAAACUCAUUCAAGGGUUAUUUUACAGUUAGAAAAAGUUGAUUGAACUGCAGUUUGAUUUGUAGAUAUGCAGAUGCAUAACAACAAACUCCAAAUAUGCUGACAGAAAACAGUUUUGUGUUUAGUUUGCUCUUGCAAUUCAAAGGUUCUUCACAAAGAUGACUUGAAAACAGAUCUGCUGGGAUCUCACCCAAAACGACCCCAUUUCAUCCUCUCCCUAAAUGUGUUACUUGUAAGGUAAUUAAAUCAUUACUGUUGGGUUCCUUGUAUUAGUUCUUCACUGCACCCAGGGUGGGAUAAACACGAGGCAACUGCACAUGUAUAACAGAUGGAAACACAAACACAUAUUUCACGCAAAAUUCAUAAUUGUCAGUUCACACAACAAGAAGCCAAAGAAAAAGGGAGGGAAAGAGAGAGAGAAGGAGUUAUUGCAGUCACAAUGUCUCUGGGCUGGCCGAGGCAGAGACUGCUCCUUCACUCAGCUUUUAAAAUGUAGAUUCCACUUAAUAUUGCAUGUGGGAUAAUCUGAUUCAGUUAAUAUUUUCAUUAAACAAUAGGUUUCUUUGUUUCUGUUACUUACAACCUGGAAGAGAAUGUAAGAGGUCUCUGCUCUGCUACGUUCAAGACACUUCUGUGCAAGAGAUAUGACCUAGGGACAUUUUGGGGAAUGCCGACUCCAUACAAUACUUCCAAAUCAAAACUCAAGCACACUUUUACAUAAUACAUUUAUUUACUGUGCAGACAAUCCUUAAUUUACAUCACAAGUUCGUCAAAGAAAUCACAAAUUGCUCCUGCAUGCUGCACGUCAAGUCAGACUAAACAUGUUCGUCAUGUCCUGGUUUUGCAAACUGGACCAGUGGAAGGAUUACUAUGUGAUUUUAUUGAAUCACUGGACAUACAAUUUGUUCAGAUUUGAAGAAGCAACAGGUUCUAAUCUGAUCACAACUGUGACUCUUAUGCAUAAGGCAUUCCUUUAACACUCACCACUCACAGAGAUUAGAAAGCAUCCAAUCUGUCAUAUAUGUAUAGAUCUUUAAAAUAAUGGCAGACAUAAGGGGCUUCUUCUUGACUUCGGAAUUUAAAAUCAAGUAAUUCAUUCUACAUAGAUUUUUGAUUAAGGUACCUGAAAAGAAUAGGAUUAAGUUAAUAUCCAAUUUGCAGCUAAAACUCAGACAUAUACAUAUAUACAACAUAUACAACUUCCCAAAUCUAGGUGGCUGCAUACAUUCACUGCAUUUUGAGCAACUCAGCAAAGUCCUUGAACACAACUAAAUCAUUCAUUCAGAUCCUCACCCAUGUUCAUUAAAAUUUAAAAUGUGCAACUCUCACAUUUUGCUAGUAGAGUAUAACUACUUUAUUCACUUGAAUACUUAAUUAUGUAUGUGUGUGCAUCUGUGUGUCCCAUGUUGCUUCGACUGGCUCUUUAUCAGUAUGACUGACAUAAUGUUUUGUACACAGUAGCACACAUUUCAUAUUCAUACAUUCAUUUGGUGUUGUGGACCUUUUGGCUUCCUACAAAGAUGCAAUUAUUUAAUAUUAAUCAAUGCUAAGGUUGUAAAGGAGAGUGUUCAUGCUGACAAACUGCUUUCGGUGACUGAACAGUCCAGUGUCUGCUUACUUACUUACUGGGUUAGCAGUGUUCAUACAGUAAUAAAACAGAUUAUGACAGAGAUUAUUACAUUAUUUAACACAUUUGUUGAACUAACUUUAUUAUGGAAGGCACAAUAAACAUGUUCAUCAAAAUUAUACCAAUAAAUGACAAUAAAUAUCAUUCACAUAUUUGUUUUUCCCUGUAUCCAUACAUCCAUUUUCUAUACAGCUUAUCCGUCAGGGUCACGGGCGGCCGCGGGGUUCACUCUGGACUGGUCGCCAGUCAG